CAUAUGAGUUGAGAAGUACGAAUUAUUCACGAUUCUGUGUUUAGUUAAAGUCGUAAAUAAUUUGCAUAUAAUCAUCAAAGUGGAUAAUAUUAACAAAUACAAGAAUCUUCUCACCUGCUACUAUAAAUCGAAAAAAAAAGUGAAAUCGGCCCUUCCCUCACCCCGCCGGUUAGUUUGCGAGCGUUACCGAGCACAGCCUAGUGACAUGGAGAAGCGUGGGAAUUUUGAACAUGUGCACUCUGCACUGGUGGAGUGCACGAUCACGCUCGUCUACACCUCACUAUAAUUUUAGUUGGAGGUAAAGAAGAGAGAGAAAGAAAAAAAUUUCCUCUUAAUCUACGCGAGUAUAGAAAACAUGGGAAUUGCCAACAUGCAACAACGUGAUUGUCCAUCACUGGAUGCGUCUGUGGUGCCGCUGUCGGACGAAUCUAACGAAAAGAUAAAUGUUAAGGGAAAAGAAAAUUGGGUAUCGAUAUAACUUUUCCCAUCGGCGAUUUAUA
Colletes gigas is the source of this 500-nucleotide long non-coding RNA. RefSeq lists it as uncharacterized. The transcript is spliced from 3 exons. The record is from RefSeq and is a predicted model, not a curated record. NCBI's taxonomy places the organism in Eukaryota, Metazoa, Arthropoda, Insecta, Hymenoptera, Colletidae.